GGAUUAGAUACCCUGGUAGUCCUAGCCCUAAACGAUGAGCACUAAAUAGGGGAGGUUCCGAUGCCGUCCCUGUUGUAGCUAAUGUAUUAAGUGCUCCGCCUGGGGAGUACGGUCGCAAGGCUAAAACUCAAAGGAAUUGACGGGGGCUCACACAAGCGGUGGAGCAUGUGGUUUAAUUCGAAACAACGCGAAGAACCUUACCCGGGUUUGACAUGCACGGAUUAGCUCCCUGAAAGGGGAGUGACGGGGUAAAACUUGGAACGUGCACAGGUGUUGCAUGGCUGUCGUCAGCUCGUGCUG
This 300-nucleotide ribosomal RNA is filed under the name uncultured bacterium. Its description in RNAcentral is "bacterial SSU rRNA". It matches the Rfam family "Bacterial small subunit ribosomal RNA", at positions 775 to 1067 of the family's 1533-position model. The record is from RNAcentral.